This is a long non-coding RNA of Triticum urartu, 4611 nucleotides long. RefSeq lists it as uncharacterized. The record is from RefSeq and is a predicted model, not a curated record. Lineage: Eukaryota; Viridiplantae; Streptophyta; Magnoliopsida; Poales; Poaceae.
UGUAGCAGCAUCAGCACGUAAUAUAAAUACUAGCCAAACACGUGAUGUACCAAUGGCAUGUACUUGAAUGAAGAGAUCAUUAAAAAAAUCUACCAUACAUCAGACGCCAUUAUGAGGCAUUGGCAACAAUGUGGCAACAACAUCACAUAUAGUAUUCCAUCAUUCAGAGCAAGGAGCAUAAAAAGAACCAGAAUUUAAAAUGAAUAUGGAGGCAUGGCAUAUGCAUCACACGAGACCAUCUAGUAAUAGAAUUUCAGUACAUCCAUAAGUCCACCAGUCCACAUGGAUACAUCACAUAUCAUAGCAGCAACACCACACAUGACUCUGUGUCGCACAUCAUCAGGCUACCACGGCUAUCUACACGUGUACCUGGAACAAAAGUAUACCUGCCGACCUAUCUGUCCGUCGGAACUAGUCUAGCUAACUACGGCUGUGCAAACUCUGGAAGGGUAGCUACGGCUACAAGACCUUUCCAGAUAUGCACAGAAUCCAAAAGGACAGCCUCCAUGCAUCUGCCUAAACAUCUAAUAAGUGGCGGAACUAACUCUGGGAGGUGUAGCUAUGAUGCUACAACCUUGCCAGAAUACUAACUACUACUACUAGUAGCACGUCAAUCCUCCCUAACAAGAGGACUAGGUGAAAUGGUGAGGAGCAAGUCGGGGUCGAGGGCAGAAGUUGGUGCAGGCAGAGACACACUCGGUGCAGCAGCGUCAGACUCGGGUGCGCUGAUGGUGCUAAGAGGGUACUCAGAGGGAGUGUGCUAAGAGGGUGUGACGUCGGAAGCGACACGAAGGUACUCCAGGGGCUGAGAAGACACCUGGCGGGAGUCGAGUGCUAGAAGCUCUGAGUAAGUGACGCCAAUCACUAAAAAGUCGGGGGUGCCAUCGGGAGAAGGUGGAGCAGGGUCGGUAGCUGGAGAACCUGGUGGAGUGUGGGGAGUGUGCUCUGGAGGUGGUGGGACUACAACGGAACUCAGAGUAGGAGCAACCUGAGAGGAAGGCUCGUCGGUGACAAGAGACUCCUGGUCAAUCGGGUACCCUACCCGGCCUGGAGAGGCGGAAGGUGAGCUGUCGAUCUGAAGAGGGUUGAGGGCCAUACCCGGAUGGGUGUAGUCCCUCAACGCAGUGGACAUCUCGCUGUUUGCCCGCUCAAGCUCGGAACAACGCCUCUGAAGAGUGUCAACCUGAUCUAAUAGGUCCUGAACGAGCUGAGGUGCAGGUGGACGCUCGUACAGUGUGGAGGGAUGUGACACUGCGCGAGAGGAGGAACCCCUGAUGACUCUAGGAGCUGGGUGGUCUGCCCGAGUGGGUGGGACUGUCGGGUACAGAGGUGGACGAGCGGCAGUCGAAGCUGGUGGUGGUAAAAAUGUGGGAGGUAAAAUAGGAGGACGUGGUGAAAGUGGAGGGAAAGUGGAAGUGGUCGAAAAAGGCGAAGGAGUGACAAUGGGCGUAGGUGCAGACGAACUCCCUGCUCCUCUAGCUGAUGAGGCCACUCGCCUCUGCCCGCGUACUGAAGGAGAGGGUGGUAGGCGUGGAAAAGGUGUAAAGCGGCAUCUCGUGCCGCACCCUAAAGUGCUGAAACAAAGUCGUAACGGGCAACACUGUACCUAGAAGGGACUUCUAAGCUCUCAGGAAUGUGCACUGUGACUAAGUACCCCGUGGAACACGGGUCGUGAAACACUGUGUAGUACGGUGCAAUCAACACACCCAGAAGACCAAGAAGCUCAACCAAGAACAGAGCAAAACCACCAUACUCAGGACCCAUACCAAACAUCCUACCACUCCUCAUCCUACAUUAAGAAAUUUAAGAAUUCAGUUAGUUAUAACACAGUGUAAAAUUAAUUUUACCAAGGACAGUAAAUAAACAAUUAAACACAUUUUUCUUGCACAAUUGUGUGCUCUAAAUUAUUUAAUCUUCACUUGACUUGAGUCAUUUUUUAAAGAAAACUUUUAGUUUAUUUUAGGUAAGGAGGGAACCUAUCUUUCCUAGGGCUCAGACGGUCUCUAACCAAGUACAUGACUGUUUCCUUAACGCUGCUCUGAUACCACCUCUUCUAUGACGCCCCGUUACGUCCAACAGAGUCAGGCGUAAUGGAAGCCGUCACUUCAGAGUUACGCCAGGAUCAGUUAAGGAGAACAAUGUCAUGUACAAAACGGAGCAGCUGCCAUGAGUAGGCAAGCUUUUAUUACAUAGACACCUCAUGUGUCGACUAAGCCUAUGCGGCCAUGACGAUAGAUCGUCACCCGCUUCUAGUACGAGCCUUUUAGACCAACCAUGGAGGGCAUCUACUCUUCAUAACCUUGAUUGUCGACUUCCUCAUAGUCAUACUCCACUUUAGAAUAACCGAAGUCGUUAAGAUGACCAGACUCAUCAUAAGUACCAUUCUCUAUCGCCUCGGAGUUCUCAUAACUCUCUUGCUCUGAAAAACAACAUAAGUGCAGCUGAGUACGUAUAAAAUACGUACUCCGCAAGUCGUCGGGAAAAGUGGAUGCAUGAGUUUUUAAAGAGGAAAAACUUUAUCGGUCACAGCUACCACCACCGAGCCAUUAUCUCAAAAUACUAUGUAGGUAAAAAUAUUUUCCUUUAACCAAUUUUGUUGAAAACCAAAUUUUAUUCAUAAAAUUUACUGGCGACAGAGCGACGUGGGAUCUUACAUCCCGUGUUAGAGGAAAACCCACACGACGCACUUCCAAUCCCGGAAGCUGGGAGUGAUAUCACAUUUAAUCUGAUCAGAGGUGUACUGCUUUGCCCAUAGCAUCACUUGGUACAAGUCGUCCAUGCGCUACCCGUGCGCACGACUAGACCAAGGAACCAGAACCUUUAACCAGCCCGUACACUACCUCUGCUUUUCCACCUUGCCUUACUAAAGGCCCGCGGGUCAAAACCCCUGACCGGCGGUCCCGCCCUAGGGUGACUGUACCUACCCGGCUACAGCCACCUUCUCACCCAUGCAGAGGCAGCUACUUGGCAUGGGUAGUCGGUUCAGCCCAUCCCAUUCCAGGUCUAUGGUCAGUACGAUUUGCGCCGCUUUUGAAGUAAGCGCCAGUUGGUUGUGUCCUAAUGUGAUACCCUAUGUAGAGGAGCCCGCCAUCCAAGCCAACCCUACCCGGGUUGCCUUCACCAACAUAAGCUCCCCUACCCACCAAAUAUUUAUUUAUAAUGUAGCCCUGCCCGGGUCACAACUACUCAAUACAGAUACUUCACCUGAUCUGGUCCAAUUGCCAAAUUAGUGGAUCCACCUGAUGCAAAUCUCAUUUCAUUUAUGAAAAAUAUUUAUUUUUAAUUCUUAUGCAAAAUUUUAGAAAUGACCCAUAGCCCGGAAAAAAUUUAUCAAGACAUGGUCAAGGAGAUGACGACUUGCCGGGUAGUGCUUCGACCAACUCGGAACCACCAGAUGCGACUCCUACGAGUCCGGGAUCGACUCAUGAUAAUUAUUUCACAAACAUGUUUAUAAUGCCUAAUUAAAAUCUAAACAUCCAGCAACACGGCCAUGUUGGGCAAGCCAUAAUUAAUUAACUAGGUACUGAUACGUCCUAGUGUUUCAUUGAGAUAUAAAAUGCAUCUAAGCCAUCCAAAUCAGAGUAGCAUGCACGUAUGUCAUCCAGUCCAGAGAGUGAUAAAAGAAAUGAUAAGUAAAAGGAAACAGUAGCCUAGUACUGUACUACUUGUACUUUGCUGGUUAAGCCCCAGCCCGUGUCUAUCCAGAAAGACUACUCAACUUCUCUGCUAUCCCACGAACAGAACCAGCCCGCUCACCUCUCUCUCUCCUCCAAGAACAGAGCGCGGCCGCCGUCGCCUCGAUCUGCCCCGUCCGGGCAUCUACGGCGACACGGCGGACACCAACAGAUUCCCCUCGUCUCCCUCUACCAUUUCCCCCUAUUUAUUAGAUCCGCCGCCGCCAAAAACGUCGCCACCACUCAAUCCUAGUGCCGCCUGAUCCAGGUCUGGUGGGCUUGCCACCGGCUGCAGCAGCCACACGCACAAGGCGUGCAGCCACAGGCGUCGGGCGUGUGCGGCUUCACCGGCGCUGCUCGGUUGCCAUGACUUUGCUGCUAACGGUGUGGAGUAGCCACAUCCUACUGCUACUACCGGUAAAUAGAUCAAGGUGAAUAGAUGCUUAUGGACUGAUUCAAACCGAGGUGGAGAUAGAUAAGAAAUCAAGCAAGAAGGGCUAACACAACAAGGUACUUGAUUAGUACCUGGUGGCGCAUGCAACCCAAAGAGCUUCACAGCAGGGGAAGAUAGCAGUGUGGCAGAAGGUGAAAAGGCAGAGGGGUUUCUCCAGCGGAUGAUUGUGUGUGGCCACAGUGAAAGGGAUGGCUCCUAUUUAUAGUGGGGUGAAUAGCUAUGUCGGUUUGGAGAGGCAUUACAUCUGGCACGCAUGCGUGGUUAGUCUUGCAUGCAUGCCUCCACUUGUGCCUCUUGUGGGCUGUACUAGGGACAAGUGUAAUUUGCUUGGCUGGCCAUUAGUUGGCAUUUACUUUGUAUGAAGGAAAUGAGACAAGGGUCUAUAAACUAUAGGGAGGUUUGGAGAAGAAUUGUUGUGCAUGACUAAAUGCUAUUUGCUGUAAUAAAAAUAAUAAUUAAGUGUAGUUAUUUCUAUUAUUUUAA